GCAAAACUUUGCCCUUUGUUUUGUUUUCCCUGUUCCCUGGAUUCACCUUUGCUGCCUUAUUUUAUUUUUCUGCAUUUUGAUCCUCAUUUCUGAAACAGUGACUGUUGCACUUAAAAACACCCUAUAAACCAGUCAGCACAUUAGAGAAAGAGAAAGAGAAAGUAAAUCAGCACUCGGAUUUAGUCAAUCGACCAGCAUCACAAGAGUGGAGAAGCUUACCAACAGAAAAGAAACAAGUAAAUAAAAAGAUACUCCUGAGAAUAAUUUCAACCUUGAGCAGACUAAAAUGGAAGCCGGAAGCUCAAGGGGUUGCGAAGUCAAUUUUGCGAAUGUAAUAGUCAGCAGUCUGCUGAUCUCUUUAGAAGCCCCAGUGAUGUUCUUCGUGGACAAAGUUCGUGAAUAUCUGUGGAAGUCAAAGCCAUGACAAGAAGAACUGGAAUCAGCAGCAUGGAUACAGAAGCAACCGAGUUCAGAUAAAGUGAUCGAUAAACAUAGAUGAAAUGAGUGGUUUGAAAGUGAUAUGAGAGAUAUUAUACCAAUUGAAAUGCUUAUCUGUCAGUGUAUCCAAACAUUUAUAUUUCUACAA
This is a long non-coding RNA of Carassius carassius (crucian carp), 586 nucleotides long. RefSeq lists it as uncharacterized. The transcript is spliced from 3 exons. The record is from RefSeq and is a predicted model, not a curated record. NCBI's taxonomy places the organism in Eukaryota, Metazoa, Chordata, Actinopteri, Cypriniformes, Cyprinidae.